CCAGCCCAGAGGAUUAUCUUCCCAAAUCAGCCCAGCUUCUAAAGCCUGUUUUUGUGGAAAAUGUUGGUUGUGUUACCCAGCUACCCAAUGGGGCCGUGUGGGUUCACUUCAAUGACGGAUCCCAGCUGGUGGUUCAGGCCGGAAUGCCCUCUAUCAGUUACACCUCCCCAAGUGGCCAGACUACUCGAUACGGGGAAAAAGAAACAUUACCAGAAUACAUCAAGGAGAAAUUACAGUGUCUGUCUUCUGUCCUGCUGAUGUUCGCUAACCCUACUCCAGGACCCCCCUGAUUAAAAGCGUUCGUUUGGAUGCUCUGUGGCAAAUGAAUGACUUUUUGUUGACUUGAAGGGAAGUGUUUUUAUUCAUCCCAAGCCAGCCACUCCAGAAGAGGAUUUUAACAGGACUGCAACGUGUGUAUUUUAGCCAAGCUGCAAAGUCAGAAGGCAACGUCCCAAGCUCUUAGGCAAUGCCCGAUGCCCCCACCAUUUGUGUCUGUAUUUAUGUGUUUGUUGUGAAGUGAACAUGUCUAUAGUCUACACGUAGAUGGGUGAGAUGUUCCUUGCUUUUAUUGGUUUUUUCAGACAGAUCGGGAAUCAUGGAAAAUGUGGUUUUAGGAUUUUUAAACAUGUAAAGAAUUUGUAAAUAUGUUACUACUAAUGUAAAAUUGUAUACUUGUUUAUAUCUUUAUUUUUGUAGCACCAAGUUUCUAAUGAAACGUUCCUACAAAAGGGUUUUGUUGGGGGGAAAAAUGGAAAAGAAAUAAAUGCAGUGUUAAGAGCCCUUAAGCCUGGGUUCAUUCAUUUAACAUGUCAAAAAAUUGAACAAAAAGCUUGUUUU
Molecule: long non-coding RNA, 837 nt
Organism: Gracilinanus agilis (Agile Gracile Mouse Opossum)
Lineage: Eukaryota; Metazoa; Chordata; Mammalia; Didelphimorphia; Didelphidae
Exons: 3
Source: RefSeq, a predicted model, not a curated record